Molecule: small nucleolar RNA, 135 nt
Organism: Aspergillus oryzae RIB40
Lineage: Eukaryota; Fungi; Ascomycota; Eurotiomycetes; Eurotiales; Aspergillaceae
Rfam family: A. fumigatus snoRNA Afu_198
Source: Rfam
CAACAGUCUCCUAUAUGAUGAAGAUUUUUCUCAAGAACCGGUAUUUUUAGGAAGAGCCGGAAGAGGUAUGACAGGAUACCCAAUGGGAUCCUCGUCGUCGAUGCUUAUAAUGGUUCUUCUGAGUGGAGUUAAACU